CCUACGGGGGGCAGCAGUGAGGAAUAUUGGUCAAUGGGAGAGAUCCUGAACCAGCCAAGCCGCGUGAGGGAAGACGGCCCUAUGGGUUGUAAACCUCUUUUGUCGGAGAACAAAACCCGGGACGCGUCCCGGUCUGCGUGUAUCCGAAGAAAAAGCAUCGGCUAACUCCGUGCCAGCAGCCGCGGUAAUACGGAGGAUGCGAGCGUUAUCCGGAUUUAUUGGGUUUAAAGGGUGCGUAGGCGGUCCGUUAAGUCAGCGGUAAAAUUGCGGGGCUCAACCCCGUCGAGCCGUUGAAACUGGCAUACUUGAGUGAGCGAGAAGUACGCGGAAUGCGUGGUGUAGCGGUGAAAUGCAUAGAUAUCGCGCAGAACUCCGAUUGCGAAGGCAGCGUACCGGCGCCAGACUGACGCUGAGGCACGAAAGCGUGGGGAUCGAACAGGAUUAGAUACCCGAGUAGUC
This 459-nucleotide ribosomal RNA is filed under the name uncultured bacterium. RNAcentral describes it as "partial 16S ribosomal RNA". It matches the Rfam family "Bacterial small subunit ribosomal RNA", at positions 338 to 795 of the family's 1533-position model. The record is from RNAcentral.